This 390-nucleotide ribosomal RNA is filed under the name uncultured bacterium. RNAcentral describes it as "bacterial SSU rRNA". It matches the Rfam family "Bacterial small subunit ribosomal RNA", at positions 29 to 408 of the family's 1533-position model. The record is from RNAcentral.
AAUGAACGCUGGCGGCGCGCCUAAUACAUGCAAGUCGAGCGAGAAGACGUAGCAAUACGUUUGUAAAGCGGCGAACGGGUGAGGAAUACAUGGGUAACCUACCCUCGAGUGGGGAAUAACUAGCCGAAAGGUUAGCUAAUACCGCGUACGCUUCUUGGACUUCGGUUCAGGGAGGAAAGCGAUACCGUGGGUAUCGCGCUCUUGGAUGGGCGUCAUGUCCUAUCAGCUUGUUGGUGAGGUAACGGCUCACCAAGGCUUCGACGGGUAGCUGGUCUGAGAGGACGAUCAGCCACACUGGCACUGCGACACGGGCCAGACUCCUACGGGAGGCAGCAGUAAGGAAUAUUGCGCAAUGGGCGAAAGCCUGACGCAGCGACGCCGCGUGGGGGA